UACAGAGGUCUCAAGCGUUGUUCGGAUUCAUUGGGCGUAAAGGGCGCGUAGGCGGCGGGGUAAGUCGGGUGUGAAAUCUCAGAGCUCAACUCUGAAACUGCACUCGAUACUGCUCUGCUUGAGGACUGGAGAGGAGACUGGAAUUCACGGUGUAGCAGUGAAAUGCGUAGAUAUCGUGAGGAAGACCAGUGGCGAAGGCGGGUCUCUGGACAGCUCCGUGACGCUGAGGCGCGAAGGCCAGGGGAGCAAACGGG
Molecule: ribosomal RNA, 254 nt
Filed under: uncultured bacterium
Lineage: Bacteria
Description: partial 16S ribosomal RNA
Rfam family: Bacterial small subunit ribosomal RNA
Source: RNAcentral